Molecule: RNA transcript, 2542 nt
Organism: Gadus morhua (Atlantic cod)
Lineage: Eukaryota; Metazoa; Chordata; Actinopteri; Gadiformes; Gadidae
Gene: izumo1
Gene name: izumo sperm-oocyte fusion 1
Exons: 11
Source: RefSeq, a predicted model, not a curated record
UUAGCAAACCAGCCCGAAAAAAAAGCCACAACUUUACAUUGUAUUGCACGCACAGCAAGACCAUGCAAUGUAUAAAUUGGUGACCGGAAUAAAUUAGCAAUGCAAUCAAGUUUUUAAGAGAAUUUAAAAUCGUCAUUCAAAUGACCUACGUGGUACAAAUACAAAAAAUAAAAAUCUCUUCAGGGGCGCAGCCAUUUUUUUGAGAGCGUCAUCACUGCUCUCGGUCUACUAUCAGAUUUUCGAAAGAUGAAGACAAAAAGGGGGCGUGCCUUCGAGAACUGCCACAAGAGAGCUGGGAGAUCUUGGAUUUCGACUCGGAAGUCGGGGGUUCGAGGAAUCAGGAACACAACAUAAGUAUGCAGACAUUCAUGAGGCCACAGCUCUUGGUGGUUAGCCUGUUGGCCCUGUGUCGCAUGCCUGCUGGGAGGGCCUGUCUGCAGUGUGACCGCAAGACCCGACUCCUGCACGAGGACUUCCUCCUGUCGGCUGCCAGCGUGGAGAAGCAGAUUGCCCUCACGAUGAUCAGGGACCACGCCUAUGUCACCUACAGGCAGACUAGCCAGGCACACCGUGGUGUCAGUGAUCCCACCACUUUUUACAGAGUAAGCACUGAGUACCACAGUGAAUUCAAUCGCAUCAAGAAGACCCUGCAACCAGGUUCAGGGACAAUUGACGCCAUUCAAAUCAUGGAGAAGGGCCGGAAAAUCUUAGAGAAGCACUUGGUUAUUUUCAUCCGUGAAGGACUGUGCCCUAACAAGUGUGGGCAGCUGUAUCAAAGAGUGAUAGACUGCUCCUCCUGCAAAUACAAGUUAUACAAUUGUCCUUCUCCCCCAGACCAGCUGGACUGUGGCGAGCACCAUUUGGAGGCUGAAGAAGGGGACCAGGCUGUGUUGAACUGUUUCCUGCCCUGGCACAGCCUGAUUCAGGGAACACCAGAGUACCACUUUACCUGGGCCCCCGGCCCCCCUGGAUCCACACAGCUGGAAGAGAGCGAUUUCCAAACCCUGGUGGUCACCGAGGAGCCGUCGGUGGUGCUGAAUCAGCUGCACGCGAAAGAACAAGGGACGUACCGCUGUUCACUGCAGGACCGCAAGGCCACGGUCUUCUCCACAGUCACCUUCUUCCUCACUGUCACAGCUCUGCCCACCCAAACUCCCAUACAGCUAAUAACGUUGCCCACCCUGCCUCCAAGAUACACCUCCUCGACUCUUCCACUUACCAGAUACCAGUUGCUGUCUAUCAUUGCCACGGUGACCGCCCUCAGCCUGGUAGCCAGCAUAGGCCUCACAGUGGCCCUUGGACUGACAAUGAAGAGGAAGAUGAAGGAGCUAAGAGCAAGGAGAAUGGUGUCAGUUUAUUAACAAAGUUUCAGCUCCCGAAAUAAAAAUCCAACUCAACGCUUAUCAUUCUCUGCAGUCAAGGCUUUAAUCCUAUCAUGGGAUAUUUACGAUUCAGUCCUUUAGCAGAUGCUAUUAUCCAAAUGAUAUCAAGUAGCAGACGUGGACCCGAGAGCAGGUUCUCUGAGGGAGGGCUGACAUCACCAACACAUAAUUACUGACGCAGUUAACCUGAGGAGCCACGGGGACCUCCUGAUUGGAGACAAGAGGACCAGGGCCACGUGGGCCUGGAUAAGAAGAUCUGGAUGGAUAAAUCUCCAGGUUUAAUGUUUUUUUUCUAGGAUUAAUUGCCCCAGCAGCCCGCUUAAUCCCAAAUAAUCCCUGUGAGAGCAGAGCCGGUGAGUAUGAAUCCAUCCCUGUUGGUUUGUUGCCAUUGUUGUUUAGUCUGGAUAUUUGUUUCUGGGGAUGAAUUCAUGUUUUUUGACAUGAACACUACCACAUUUAAUUUAUAUAUCUUUCACAUUCAUUCUCUCUAGAUUGAAUGUUCUGGAUGAAUAUCUUCGUCCUCGUUUCAUAGCUGGUUAAGUGCAACCUUCUCACCUCAAGUCAAGUCAUAUUUUGCUCAUUACUUCCAAAGGAAUUUACUUCUGGGUUCCUUUGUUUAGUUGUGUUGUUUUGGAAUAGUUGUAGAUAAGCAGUGCAAAUUCAGAUCCAAAAUAGCGUUUUUGUUUGUAAUAGGUGAAGCAUUUCUGUCACGUAGUCCAAUUUUGAUAAUAAAGACAAUCACUUUUUAACCCAAAAAACUCAAAAUGAUACAUGUGUUUGAAUAUAGUUUUCCAAAAAUUUUAACAUUUCGUUUUUUGAGGCUAGCGGGCUGAACGUAGGCAAUGUGCCAGGGUGAAAGGGACAUGAUUCAUUGAAGGGAUGAAGAACAGGAGAGUGGUUGUGUAAGGAUUGUUGUGGUGAUAGCAGGGUGUAACGCUUCCAUUUCCUUUUUGGUAAACAGAAGAAAAAACACCUGCUUGUUAUACAUCACUUGUCAUAGCAAUAUGCAAACAAGAGUCCUGGCAAGGAAACGUCACCAACAAGUUGACUAUCAUUAUGUUAAAUGUUUGUCUGCAAAGUUCUAGGUCAAUAGAGAAAAACAAAGAGAUGAAUACCUCUUUCACUCGAUAAGAUAGUCAACACACACGCACACACACGCA